Molecule: ribosomal RNA, 513 nt
Filed under: Agabus didymus
Lineage: Eukaryota; Metazoa; Arthropoda; Insecta; Coleoptera; Dytiscidae
Description: partial 16S ribosomal RNA
Rfam family: Bacterial large subunit ribosomal RNA (bases 387-513)
Source: RNAcentral
GUCCUUUUGACUUUAAUUUAAGGUUUAACCUGCCCACUGAAAUUAUUUAAAGGGCCGCAGUAAUUUGACUGUGCAAAGGUAGCAUAAUCAUUAGUUUUUUAAUUAAAAGCUUGUAUGAAGGGUUGGACGAGGUAAAAUCUGUCUCUAUUUAAUUUAUUUUAGAAUUUAAUUUUUAAGUUAAAAAGCUUAAAUUUUUUUAAAAGACGAGAAGACCCUAUAGAUCUUUAUAUUAUAUUUAUUAAUUUUAAUUAGGAAUAUUUUAUUUUUUAAUAUUUAUAUUAUUUUAUUGGGGUAAUAAAAAGAUUAAAUUAAUUCUUUUUUAUUAUAACAUUAAUUAAUGAUUAUAUGAUCCAUUUUUAUUGAUUAAAAGAUUAAGUUACCUUAGGGAUAACAGCGUAAUUUUUUUAGAGAGUUGAUAUCGAUAAGAAAGUUUGCGACCUCGAUGUUGGAUUAAAAAUUAUCUUAGGUGCAGAAUUUUAAGAUUUUGGUCUGUUCGACCAUUAAAUUUUUAGA